GGCGCCGGGAGGCUGUUUUUCCACUCACUGGCGCGCAGACUCCAUCCCACUGUUUUCUUCUCUCUUUUCUGGAGUUAGAUUAGUCUGAAGCCGCCACCAGCCCCAGGCCCCCGUGCAGAAGAAAAGCGGGAGGGAACGGCGGAGGCCGCCGCUGCCCUGCACCGCCCUCCUGGAGGCCACUUGGAGAGUCCGGCCCCGAGGAGGCCAUGGCCACAAGUGCCCACAGCUGGCCCCAGGUUGCCAGCGUCGCUACAGCCCAGACCAAGGCAGAAUAAUCUCCGGAUGAGCUGGUGGCACCGCUGAGCCUUUGGUCUCACCAGGGCUUCCUGUUGCUGGCAGGCGGGGUGGAGCGGAGCUGCUGGGAGGCUGCUGGAUAGGAGAGGGGUCACGGCUGCGGAAGAGGAGGUUCUUCGGGACACCCGUGGAUGGACACGGCAAGGAAAGAGCAAGGCUCAGGAUGAUUUAUCCUCUUUUCACUGAUGAGGAAUCUGAGGCCCAGAGAACAGUCAUGAAGUGUGAUCAGACCCUGAGGUCUCCAAAAAGAUAAUGUCCUUGCGAACUCCAGGGAUUCUGGCAUCUUGCUGUACCCACCCCAGCCCACACGGCAGGAUCCUAUCCAAGUCCCUUAUCCACCCGGACACUCACUUUAGCUUUUACACCCUCAAGGCUGAGACCCUAAGGACACGCCCUGGAUCCAAGGAGUCCCUGGCCCCUCUGCUAAUAUGCGCCACCUGGACUCCCAGAGGGAAAGCCGGUCAGCACCCCACAUGCAUUAGCACCAUGGGCCACCCCCAAGCCCUACCCCAGGAGAAGCUCGUGGUGGCAAAAAGAACCUAAGCAUUUGAGGCAGGUCACCCAAGCUUGAAUCUCAGUCUGCCUCUCAUCUGUGACCCUGGCGAGCCACUCGUCCUCAGGAAGCCUUCACUUUCCCUAGUGCACGGCGG
Molecule: long non-coding RNA, 944 nt
Filed under: Homo sapiens (human)
Lineage: Eukaryota; Metazoa; Chordata; Mammalia; Primates; Hominidae
Description: non-protein coding lnc-CALHM1-1:3
Source: RNAcentral